Molecule: ribosomal RNA, 774 nt
Filed under: uncultured Neocallimastigales
Lineage: Eukaryota; Fungi; Neocallimastigomycota; Neocallimastigomycetes; Neocallimastigales
Description: partial large subunit ribosomal RNA
Rfam family: Eukaryotic large subunit ribosomal RNA
Source: RNAcentral
AGAGAGAGACAUGCGCGCAUAUCAAUAAGCGGAGGAAAAGAAACUAACAAGGAUUCCCCUAGUAACGGCGAGUGAAGCGGGAAGAGCUCAAAUUUGAAAUCUUAAAGGGUUUCCCUUUACGAAUUGUAGUUUAAAGAAGUGUUUUCUGUUGAGGUUUUGGUAAAAGUUCUUUGGAAUAGGACAUCAUAGAGGGUGAGAAUCCCGUAUUUGACCUUUACUUUCAACUUUGUGAUACACUUUCAAAGAGUCGGAUUGUUUGGGAAUGCAGUCCAAAAUGGGUGGUAAAUUUCAUCUAAAGCUAAAUAUUGGCGAGAGACCGAUAGCGAACAAGUACCGUGAGGGAAAGAUGAAAAGAACUUUGAAAAGAGAGUUAAACAGUACGUGAAAUUGUCAAAAGGGAAGCGUUUGACACCAGUGUUGUUUUUCUGAGAAUCAAUUAAAGAACUGUUUAUGCUAAGCUGUUUAGACUUUAUCAGCUAACUGUUUAGUUUUGAGCUUUUCUUUAAUGCACUUUUCAGUUAACAAGUCAACAUCAAUUUCUUUUGCUGUAAAAAAGCUUGAGGAAGGUGGCUUGAGAUUCGUCUUAAGUGUUUAUAGCCUCUUGCCUAUGCAGUCGGAGAGAUUGAGGUCUGCAGCGUAGAUCCUUCGGGGCUAAAUGCAUUUGUGCUAAGUUAUAACAUUUUAUAGACAACUUGUUGACUAUGAUUUGUCUUGUAGCUUACUCGCUUAUGUUAUUUUACCUACGCUUAGGAUGUUGACGCAUGAGAUAUACGC